AUCAACUUUCGAUGGUAGGAUAGAGGCCUACCAUGGUGGUAACGGGUAACGGGGUGUUAGGGCACGACACCGGAGAGGGAGCCUGAGAAACGGCUACCACAUCCAAGGAUGGCAGCAGGCGCGCAAAUUACCCAAUCCCGACACGGGGAGGUAGUGACAAUAAAUAACAAUACGGGGCUCUUUAGGGUCUCGUAAUUGGAAUGAGUACAAUUUAAAUCUCUUAACGAGGAACAAUUGGAGGGCAAGUCUGGUGCCAGCAGCCGCGGUAAUUCCAGCUCCAAUAGCGUAUAUUAAAGUUGUUGCAGUUAAAAAGCUCGUAGUUGAAUUUCGGGAUCAGCAGGUUGGUCGUGCCUCUGGUAUGUACUGGUUUCGCUGAUUCCUCCUUUCUGAAGAACUGUAAUGUCAUUAAUUUGGUGUUGCAGGGAAACAGGACUGUUACUUUGAAAAAAUUAGAGUGUUUAAAGCAAGCUAACGCUUGAAUACAUUAGCAUGGAAUAAUGAAAUAGGACGUUUGAUCCUAUUUUGUUGGUUUCUAGGAUUGACGUAAUGAUUAAUAGGGAUAGUUGGGGGCAUUAGUAUUCAAUUGUCAGAGGUGAAAUUCUUGGAUUUAUUGAAGACUAACUACUGCGAAAGCAUUUGCCAAGGAUGUUUUCAUUAAUCAAGAACGAAAGUUAGGGGAUCGAAGACGAUCAGAUACCGUCGUAGUCUUAACCAUAAACUAUGCCGACUAGGGAUCGGAUGAUGUUAAUUUUUUAAUGACUCAUUCGGCGCCUUACGGGAAACCAAAGUGUUUGGGUUC
RNAcentral lists this ribosomal RNA (799 nucleotides) under uncultured Glomeromycotina. RNAcentral describes it as "SSU rRNA". It matches the Rfam family "Eukaryotic small subunit ribosomal RNA", at positions 314 to 1114 of the family's 1831-position model. The record is from RNAcentral. Lineage: Eukaryota; Fungi; Glomeromycota.